AACGAACGCUGGCGGCAUGCCUAACACAUGCAAGUCGAACGAUGCCUUCGGGCAUAGUGGCGCACGGGUGCGUAACGCGUGGGAAUCUGCCCUUGGCUUCGGAAUAACAGUUAGAAAUGACUGCUAAUACCGGAUGAUGUCCCCCUGAGAGAUCUUGGGGACCAAAGAUUUAUCGGCCAGGGAUGAGCCCGCGUAGGAUUAGGUAGUUGGUGGGGUAAAGGCCUACCAAGCCGACGAUCCUUAGCUGGUCUGAGAGGAUGAUCAGCCACACUGGGACUGAGACACGGCCCAGACUCCUACGGGAGGCAGCAGUGGGGAAUAUUGGACAAUGGGGGGAACCCUGAUCCAGCAAUGCCGCGUGAGUGGUGAAGGCCUUAGGGUUGUAAAGCUCUUUUACCAGGGAUGAUAAUGACAGUACCUGGAGAAUAAGCUCCGGCUAACUCCGUG
This 447-nucleotide ribosomal RNA is filed under the name uncultured bacterium. RNAcentral describes it as "partial 16S ribosomal RNA". It matches the Rfam family "Bacterial small subunit ribosomal RNA", at positions 29 to 507 of the family's 1533-position model. The record is from RNAcentral.